GCGCCUGAGAGAUAGCGACUAUAUCCACGGGUAGCAGCAGGCGCGAAACUUACCCACUCGAGACUUUCGGAGGUGGUAAUGACCAGUUCCAUGUCAACUCUUUUGGGUUGUUUGGAUAGGAUCACACUUUUCCAGUGUGGUGAAACCUAGCAGAGGGCCAGUCUGGUGCCAGCAGCUGCGGUAAUUCCAGCUCUGCGAGUUUGCUCCCAUAUUGUUGCAGUUAAAACGCCCGUAGUCGGAAUUGCCGUCAAAGGCCGAUGUGGUCAAACACGUUCACUGUGAACAAAUCAGGACGCUUAGUGUGUGGAAACAGGAAUGAUCUAGCGCAGUAUGAUAUCUUUACUAUGUAAGAUCAAUGAGAGCCACCGGGGGUAGAUCUAUUUCAUGGCGAGCGGUGGAAUGCAAUGACCCAUGAGAGAGAAACGAAGGCGAAGGCAUCUACCUAGAGGGUUUCUGUCGAUCAAGGGCGAGAGUAGGAGUAUCCAACCGGAUCAGAGACCCGGGUAGUUCCUACCUUAAACGAUGCCGACAGGGGCUUGUCCUUUCAUGAGGGCAGGAUCUUAGGAGAAAUCAUAGUUCUUGGGCUCUGGGGGAACUACGACCGCAAGGCUGAAACUUGAAGGAAUUGACGGAAGGGCACACCAGGGGUGGAGCUUGUGGCUUAAUUUGAAUCAACACGGGGAAACUUACCAGGACCAGAUGUUUUUAAGGACUGACAGGCUUCGGGUCUUUCAGGAUAGGACUUUUGGUGGUGCAUGGCCGUUGGUGGUGCGUGGGUUGACCUGUCUAGCGUUGAUUCAGCUAACGAGCGAGAUUAUCGCCAAUUAUAUACAGGGUACUGCUUCCCAGUAUUCCUGUUCUAAUUGGGACUCCUUGCGAUUAAGCAAGCGGAAGAGGGUAGCAAUAACAGGUCCGUGAUGUCCUUUAGAUGCUCUGGGCUGCACGCGCGCUACAAUGUUAGGAUCAAAGGGAUGCAAAGCUGAAAAGCUAAGCUACUCUGCCAAUACCUAACGUAGUUGGGAUUGACGGUUGUAAUCACCGUCAUGAACCAGGAAUCCCUUGUAAAUGCGUGUCAACAGCGCGCGUUGAAUACGUCCCUGCCCUUUGUACACACCGCCCGUCGCUCCUACCGAUUGGAUGAUUCGGUGAAAUCACUGGAUUGCUUGCAAGAAGGUGAUUAAAUCAUGUUAUCUAGAGGAAGGAGAAGUCGUAACAAGGUAACGGUAGGUGAACCUGCCGUUGGAUCAG
Molecule: ribosomal RNA, 1248 nt
Filed under: Cryptocercus punctulatus (brown-hooded cockroach)
Lineage: Eukaryota; Metazoa; Arthropoda; Insecta; Blattodea; Cryptocercidae
Description: SSU rRNA
Rfam family: Eukaryotic small subunit ribosomal RNA
Source: RNAcentral